GAUGAACGCUGGCGGCGUGCUUAACACAUGCAGGUCGAACGAGUAUAUGGAGCUUGCUCUAUAUACUAGCGGCGGACGGGUGAGUAACGCGUGAGCAAUCUGCCUCUAUCUGUGGGAUAACACUUAGAAAUAGGUGCUAAUACCGCAUAAGACCACGCUAUGGCAUCAUAGAGGGGUAAAAGAUUUAUCGGAUAGAGAUGAGCUCGCGUCCCAUUAGUUAGUUGGUAGGGUAACGGCCUACCAAGACGUCGAUGGGUAGCCGACCUGAGAGGGUGAUCGGCCACAUUGGAACUGAGAAACGGUCCAAACUCCUACGGGAGGCAGCAGUGGGGAAUAUUGGGCAAUGGAGGCAACUCUGACCCAGCAACGCCGCGUGAAGGAAGAAGGUCUUCGGAUUGUAAACUUCUGUCGUAAGGGAAGAAGAAUGACGGUACCUUAUAAGAAAGCCCCGGCUUACUACGUGCCAGCAGCCGCGGUAAAAC
RNAcentral lists this ribosomal RNA (482 nucleotides) under uncultured bacterium. RNAcentral describes it as "bacterial SSU rRNA". It matches the Rfam family "Bacterial small subunit ribosomal RNA", at positions 28 to 526 of the family's 1533-position model. The record is from RNAcentral.